This 605-nucleotide small RNA is filed under the name Histoplasma ohiense. RNAcentral describes it as "hypothetical lncRNA". The record is from RNAcentral. Lineage: Eukaryota; Fungi; Ascomycota; Eurotiomycetes; Onygenales; Ajellomycetaceae.
AGACUACUGUGAGGUAGACACUCACUCACUCUUUGGUAGUUACUGAUUGCUGUCGCUACAUUAUUAGCUAAACAGGCUAUUUUCCACGGUGGGUCGCAGGGACGGCUGCUUACAAUAGUAAGAACGCGUGUUGUAUACUAUAUCGUUCUGCCUCUAUUUCCAUUGCAUUCCUCGUCUCUCAUGUACGAGGCAGCACUGCUGCUAACACCAUGAUACUCGCAUUGGCCCAGGCAACAAUCUAACAGGUGGGUAGGGAUUCCGAACCGCAAUUUGGCGGAGGGGGCGUUUUCCAUUCCCCCCCCUUUUUCUUACUUCGGGAGAGGGCAUGUGCCCAAAUGGGAUGCGAUUUGUGAUGCUCAUCUGACAGGAACUGCACGCCGUGAUUAGGGAACAACAAGCUGGAGUUACAGGUUAAAACCAGGGAUUUUUCAUCGUUCUCACUAUCAUAAGGAAAGGGAGACCACAGCAAAAUCCAAUAGCGCUGCUGACCUUCUACUGCGUAGUUCCAAACUAACUACAAGAUGACAGCAAUUCAAUUGGCAGUUGAUACAUUGCAUGUACUGUUUAUAUAAAUACAAUUGCGUGGAGCUGUUUCCCCAGAACUA